UCACAAUAUCAAGCUUGGCUUGUUGUUGGGCCCUUUGUCACCUGGUGACAGGUCCAAAAGACAAUAACCGGUGUCAUACAGACUCUAUAUGCAACGAGCUUAUAACAGCACGCAUCUGGUAGUCAUAUGGCCCGGUUCUCACCUCUUUAUUUUUCAA
Molecule: unclassified non-coding RNA, 157 nt
Filed under: uncultured Chaetothyriales
Lineage: Eukaryota; Fungi; Ascomycota; Eurotiomycetes; Chaetothyriales
Description: sequence contains ITS2
Source: RNAcentral